AAUGAACGUUGGCGGCGUGGAUUAGGCAUGCGAGUCGCGCGAGAAUGUAGCAAUACAGGACAGCGGCGAAAGGGAGAGGACAACACGGGAAUCUGCCUUGGGGACGAGGAUAGCGUCGGGAAACUGACAGUAAUACUCGAUAAUGUUUGCGGACCAAAGGUGUGACUCCGCCCCAAGAUGAGCCCGUGCCCCAUUAGCUAGUUGGCAGGGUAAUGGCCUACCAAGGCUGUGAUGGGUAGCUGGUGUGAGAGCACGACCAGCCUCACUGGCACUGAGACACGGCCCAGACUCCUACGGGAGGCAGCAGUGGGGAAUAUUGCACAAAGGGCGCAAGCCUGAUCCAGCAAUGCCGCGUGGGUGAAGAAGGUCUUCGGAUUGUAAAGCCCUUUCGGCGGGGACGAUGAUGACGGUACCCGCAGAAGAAGCCCCGGCUAACUUCGUGCCAGCAGCCGCCGUAA
RNAcentral lists this ribosomal RNA (458 nucleotides) under uncultured bacterium. Its description in RNAcentral is "partial 16S ribosomal RNA". It matches the Rfam family "Bacterial small subunit ribosomal RNA", at positions 29 to 523 of the family's 1533-position model. The record is from RNAcentral.